This 104-nucleotide small nuclear RNA is filed under the name Nicotiana tabacum (common tobacco). The record is from RNAcentral. Lineage: Eukaryota; Viridiplantae; Streptophyta; Magnoliopsida; Solanales; Solanaceae.
GUCCCUUCAGGGACAUCCGAUAAAUUUGGAACGAUACAUAGAAAAUUUUCAUGACCCCUGCGCAAGGAUAACACGUGCAAAUAAAAAAAAUGGUCCAAAUUUUG